RNAcentral lists this microRNA (22 nucleotides) under Macacine gammaherpesvirus 4 (Rhesus lymphocryptovirus). RNAcentral's name for it is "rlcv-miR-rL1-5-5p". Its record names the gene rlcv-miR-rL1-5-5p. The record is from miRBase by way of RNAcentral. Lineage: Duplodnaviria; Heunggongvirae; Peploviricota; Herviviricetes; Herpesvirales; Orthoherpesviridae.
AACCUAGUGCCGGUGAUGUGCU